Molecule: ribosomal RNA, 309 nt
Filed under: uncultured eukaryote
Lineage: Eukaryota
Description: partial 18S ribosomal RNA
Rfam family: Eukaryotic small subunit ribosomal RNA
Source: RNAcentral
CCCUUAGAUGUUCUGGGCGGCCCGCGCACUACAUUGGCACUAGCAAAGAGAUCCUAGAUUGAAUUCUUUGGGGUAUUCUUCUAAAUGGUGUCGUGACUGGGAUAAAUCCUUGUAAUUAUUGGUUUUGAACGAGGAAUUCCUUGUAAUCGCGGUUUAUCAGCUCGCGUUGAAUGCGUCCCUGCCCUUUGUACACACCGCCCGUCGCUCCUACCGAUGGAUCGUCCGGUGAAGCUCACGGAGUGACUGUUCACGCAACGGUUUACGGAGUGAAAUGGACCUCACGAUUUAGAGGAAGGAGAAGUCGUAACA